UACCCGCAGCACAAGUGGUGGUCAUUAUUAUUGGGCCUAAAGCGUCCGUAGCUGGCCUGUUAGAUGCCUGGGUAAAUCGAUGCGCUUAACGCAUCGAAUUCCGGGUAGACCGGCAAGCUCGAGACCGGGAGAGGCGUGAGCUACUCAAGGGGUAGGGGUAAAAUCCUGUAAUCCUUUGGGGAGGACCAGUGGCGAAGGCGUCACGCUAGAACGGCUCUGACAGUGAGGGACGAAGCCCUGGGGCGCAAACCGG
This 253-nucleotide ribosomal RNA is filed under the name uncultured bacterium. RNAcentral's name for it is "partial 16S ribosomal RNA". It matches the Rfam family "Archaeal small subunit ribosomal RNA", at positions 474 to 727 of the family's 1478-position model. The record is from RNAcentral.